UGCCCUAGUAACGGCGAGUGAAGCGGCAACAGCUCAAAUUUGAAAUCUGGCUACCUUUCGUAGUCCGAGUUGUAAUUUGUAGAGGAUGCUUUUGGUGAGGUGCCUUCCGAGUUCCCUGGAACGGGACGCCAUAGAGGGUGAGAGCCCCGUACGGUUGGAUACCAAGCCUCUGUAUAGCUCCUUCAACGAGUCGAGUAGUUUGGGAAUGCUGCUCUAAAUGGGAGGUAUAUCUCUUCUAAAGCUAAAUAUAGGCUAGAGACCGAUAGCGCACAAGUAGAGUGAUCGAAAGAUGAAAAGCACUUUGAAAAGAGAGUUAAACAGCACGUGAAAUUGUUGAAAGGGAAGCGCCUAUGACCAGACUUGUUUCUGGCAGUUUUGUUAGCCCUCUCGGGGGCUGAUUUACUCUGUCCAGUACAGGCCAGCAUCAGUUUGCUGUCGGGGAGAAAGGCUCUGGGAAUGUGGCUCCCCUCCUCUGGGGGGGAGUGUUAUAGCCCUCUGCAUAAUACCCUUUGGCAGACUGAGGACCGCGCUUCGGCAAGGAUGCUGGCGUAAUGGUCAUCAGCGACCCGUCUUGAAACACGGACCAAGGAGUCAACCUUAUGUGCGAGUGUUUGGGUGUAAAACCCCAGCGCGUAAUGAAAGUGAACGUAGGUGAGAGCUUCGGCGCAUCAUCGACCGAUUCUGAUGUUUUCGGAUGGAUUUGAGUAAGAGCACACAGGGUUGGACCCGAAAGAAGGUGAACUAUGCUUGUAUAGGGUGAAGCCAGAGGAAACUCUGGUGGAGGCUCGCAGCGGUUCUGACGUGCAAAUCGAUCGUCAAAUAUGAGCAGGGGGGCGAAAG
This 840-nucleotide ribosomal RNA is filed under the name Ceratocystis tanganyicensis. RNAcentral describes it as "eukaryotic LSU rRNA". It matches the Rfam family "Eukaryotic large subunit ribosomal RNA", at positions 76 to 929 of the family's 3401-position model. Lineage: Eukaryota; Fungi; Ascomycota; Sordariomycetes; Microascales; Ceratocystidaceae. The record is from RNAcentral.